Molecule: ribosomal RNA, 556 nt
Filed under: Leptodactylus griseigularis
Lineage: Eukaryota; Metazoa; Chordata; Amphibia; Anura; Leptodactylidae
Description: partial 16S ribosomal RNA
Rfam family: Bacterial large subunit ribosomal RNA
Source: RNAcentral
GGUCCAGCCUGCCCAGUGACUCUGUUCAACGGCCGCGGUAUCCUAACCGUGCGAAGGUAGCGUAAUCACUUGUUCUUUAAUUGAGGACUAGUAUGAAUGGCAUCACGAGGGUUACACUGUCUCCUCCCUCUAAUCAGUGAAACUAAUCUCCCCGUGAAGAGGCGGGGAUAAACCUAUAAGACGAGAAGACCCUAUGGAGCUUUAAACACAACAUCAACUGCCCUUCCCCUUUUAAUUCCCGAAAUAAUUAUUUACCAAAGCAUUUUGAUUGUAAGUUUUAGGUUGGGGUGACCGCGGAGCAAAAAAUAACCUCCACAGUGAAUGGGCCUUUCUCCCUAAACCCAGGGCCACAACCCCAAGAAUCAAUAAAUUGACACCUAUUGACCCAAUUUCUUUGACCAAUGAACCAAGUUACCCUAGGGAUAACAGCGCAAUCCACUUCAAGAGCCCCUAUCGACAAGUGGGUUUACGACCUCGAUGUUGGAUCAGGGUAUCCCAGUGGUGCAGCCGCUACUAAAGGUUCGUUUGUUCAACGAUUAAAACCCUACGUGAUCUG